AACGCGUAUGCAACUUGCCCUGCACAGGAGGAUAACCCGUCGAAAGACGGACUAAUACUGCGUACACUCACUGGGAGGCAUCUCUUGGUGAGGAAAGAAAUUCGGUGUAGGAUAGGCAUGCGUCCCAUUAGCUAGUUGGUGAGGUAACGGCUCACCAAGGCGACGAUGGGUAGGGGAACUGAGAGGUUUAUCCCCCACACUGGUACUGAGACACGGACCAGACUCCUACGGGAGGCAGCAGUGAGGAAUAUUGGUCAAUGGGCGAGAGCCUGAACCAGCCAAGUCGCGUGAAGGAUGACUGUCUUAUGGAUUGUAAACUUCUUUUGUAUGGGAAUAACGGGGCGGACGUGUCCGCUUGUGAAUGUACCAUACGAAUAAGCAUCGGCUAACUCCGUGCCAGCAGCCGCGGUAAUACGGAGGAUGCGAGCGUUAUCCGGAUUUAUUGGGUUUAAAGGGUUGCGUAGGCCGCUUGUUAAGUCAGCGGUGAAAUCUUGGUGCUCAACCCCGAAACUGCCGUUG
RNAcentral lists this ribosomal RNA (519 nucleotides) under uncultured Porphyromonas sp. RNAcentral describes it as "bacterial SSU rRNA". It matches the Rfam family "Bacterial small subunit ribosomal RNA", at positions 112 to 629 of the family's 1533-position model. The record is from RNAcentral. Lineage: Bacteria; Pseudomonadati; Bacteroidota; Bacteroidia; Bacteroidales; Porphyromonadaceae.